UUAACCGCCACACACAGAUCAUCAAUGCCAGUCAGGCAGGUUCCCCCGCUUCUUCUAUUACUCACUGUCCUCUGUCCUCGAACUCAGCACAGAAGACAAAAACAGAGGCGUUUGGGAUCACUGUGUGAAGCAAGAGAUGGAAAUGAAUGAUUAUGUGACUUCAGACAAAAAAGGAAGUGAAAGUUGCUGUUCUUCAUCAACCUUCCUUAUACUUCAUGAGUCAACUCCCCAAAUCCAAACAUUUGGAACCACAAAGGCUGACUAUCAGUUUCACCAGUGAGGUGAGUAGAAAAACUGCAAAGAUGGCAAAAAAAUAUAAAAUAAAAAAAUGGAACUGCUACUUAGAAAACCAUUUCAAGACUGGAAUUGUUGCUGGGCUUUGGGAUGUGCUCAGCUUCUCAAAUAAGGAAACAUACAUCUGCAAGCAGAGUGCUUAUCAGGGAUCCAGCUCUGCCAAUCACACCUGCCUUCAAGAAUGCCUGUACACCACUUGCAUCCAGGAACUUGUGUCAAGGUAAAAUCAUGGCAAUGGCCAUUAUGAUAUUCUUUAUGAUGCUCAUUAUACAUUGAUUCAUUAUCAGAGCACAUUUAGACUGAGAUUAUUUAGGCAAUAACACUUGCAAUCAAGCUAUGCUAUCCACGAGGCCUCAGAUAAUCACAGCCAUAAUGAUAUCGGCUUGGAUCACGUGGAACGAAAUACCAGAGAUUUUCCCUCCGAGUUCAGGUGUUCUUUUGGUCCGUGGUGAAGCUUCACUCCAGAUUGUGCAUUUCGAGAAUCCGCAUCAUGGUGGAGCGAGAGUAAACGCACGCAAACGCGUUUGAAACUCGCUUAUUGAAGCAGACAAAUUAUUCUUCCGUUCGCGAAGAAAGAAAUAGCCUACCGCGUUUUCAAUAUGAGGUAAGGUUAAAGUCUAAAUUAAACCUAUGAAGAAACAUGUAAGGAAAAAUACAGAUAAGAAACGCCACAAACAAAUGCAGUCCGUGUACGUUUUGAUAGUUUGUUUUCGGACGUUUUGAUAGUUUGUUUUUCCAUUUGAAAUGAAAUAAGCAGUCAUUUUCUUGUUUUUUCGUUUGUAAAAAAAAGGGGGGGGGGGUUGGCUUGAUUUUCGUUUUUUUUUUUGGUUCAUGGGUAGAACGUUUUGAUAUUUAAUUUCAAAUGGAAAAACGAACUAAGCAUUCCCUUUCGAACGUUCACUCACGUUAUGUAUGGGUAAAUUCCUUUUUUUCCUUUCUGCUGAAGCCUGAUUUGUUCACGUUUGUGUAGCUGCAUAAACCAAUGGCGCUUUAGCCCGCCAAAGGGGGCGGGGCUGACCGCUAUAUAAGUCUGCCCGCAGCGCCAUUUAUCAGAUCAAUCCUCCUUCAGAGAUGAGAUUAUCUCUUUGCUCACUCUUCUGCAAGAGGAAGCCUUGGAAGAAGCUCCAGCUUUGCUCACCACUGUGGAAGAAGCCAAGAAGUCGUGAUGAAGAAUCACUGCAGGCAUCCGGGCUAAAGAGCAAAUUUCUUAAGAGCAAAUUUUCAGUGUGUUGUUCCAAAUGUCCGGGGCCAAUUAUCUCCAAGGCCCCCCACCCCACCAUACAAUCCUCCCCCCCGCAGUAGCCUAAUAAAAAGUGAAAGUUACGAUCA
Molecule: long non-coding RNA, 1623 nt
Organism: Cyprinus carpio (common carp)
Lineage: Eukaryota; Metazoa; Chordata; Actinopteri; Cypriniformes; Cyprinidae
Source: Ensembl